Molecule: long non-coding RNA, 374 nt
Filed under: Musa acuminata (dwarf banana)
Lineage: Eukaryota; Viridiplantae; Streptophyta; Magnoliopsida; Zingiberales; Musaceae
Description: long non-coding RNA (MACU_LNC003550)
Source: RNAcentral
UUCUUAAUGCAACUCAAGAACAGGAGAUACCUGUGCAAGUUAUGUCAUGUCAGCAUCCAUGGUCAUAGGGCAAAAUCCAAGCAAUUAGCUCUAGCCACAAGUUACAUCAAACUUGCAUCAUGCAAAUUUGAAGAGGUUCCAAUUUGGAUGCUUUCUUCCCGUAAAAGCAAUCUCAUGUUGUCAACUUGCCCUAUAUUUGUCUUAGGUAAUGUUGCUUAUAUUGGUGUAGCACAACUGGGCGAUAUACACAGUUCUAUACAUGUUUUUUUCCUUUCCUCGUCGAUAUAUUCAAAAGCUUAAGCCGAUAGAUAAUUCACAAUUUUAUUGCUUAACAAUGUCUUUCAUGUGUUGCAGAGUGACACAAUGGAUCAAGC